RNAcentral lists this ribosomal RNA (460 nucleotides) under uncultured bacterium. Its description in RNAcentral is "partial 16S ribosomal RNA". It matches the Rfam family "Bacterial small subunit ribosomal RNA", at positions 338 to 795 of the family's 1533-position model. The record is from RNAcentral.
CCUACGGGUGGCAGCAGUGAGGAAUAUUGGUCAAUGGGCGGGAGCCUGAACCAGCCAAGUCGCGUGAGGGAAGACGGUCCUAUGGAUUGUAAACUUCUUUUAUAUGGGAAUAAAAUGUUCCACGUGUGGGAUUUUGUAUGUACCAUAUGAAUAAGGAUCGGCUAACUCCGUGCCAGCAGCCGCGGUAAUACGGAGGAUCCGAGCGUUAUCCGGAUUUAUUGGGUUUAAAGGGAGCGUAGGUGGAUUGUUAAGUCAGUUGUGAAAGUUUGCGGCUCAACCGUAAAAUUGCAGUUGAAACUGGCAGUCUUGAGUACAGUAGAGGUGGGCGGAAUUCGUGGUGUAGCGGUGAAAUGCUUAGAUAUCACGAAGAACUCCGAUUGCGAAGGCAGCUCACUGGACUGCAACUGACACUGAGGCUCGAAAGUGUGGGUAUCAAACAGGAUUAGAUACCCUUGUAGUC